AGAUUGAACGCUGGCGGCAUGCCUUACACAUGCAAGUCGAACGGCAGCACGGGAGCAAUCCUGGUGGCGAGUGGCGAACGGGUGAGUAAUACAUCGGAACGUGCCCAAUCGUGGGGGAUAACGCAGCGAAAGCUGUGCUAAUACCGCAUAAGAUCUACGGAUGAAAGCGAGGGGAUCGCAAGACCUUGCGCGAAUGGAGCGGCCGAUGGCAGAUUAGGUAGUUGGUGGAGGUAAAGGCUCACCAAGCCUUCGAUCUGUAGCUGGUCUGAG
Molecule: ribosomal RNA, 270 nt
Filed under: uncultured soil bacterium
Lineage: Bacteria
Description: partial 16S ribosomal RNA
Rfam family: Bacterial small subunit ribosomal RNA
Source: RNAcentral